RNAcentral lists this ribosomal RNA (442 nucleotides) under uncultured Ruminococcus sp. RNAcentral's name for it is "bacterial SSU rRNA". It matches the Rfam family "Bacterial small subunit ribosomal RNA", at positions 338 to 797 of the family's 1533-position model. The record is from RNAcentral. Lineage: Bacteria; Bacillati; Bacillota; Clostridia; Eubacteriales; Oscillospiraceae.
CCUACGGGUGGCUGCAGUGGGGGAUAUUGCACAAUGGAGGAAACUCUGAUGCAGCAACGCCGCGUGAGGGAAGAAGGUUUUCGGAUUGUAAACCUCUGUCCUUGGUGAAGAUAAUGACGGUAGCCAAGGAGGAAGCUCCGGCUAACUACGUGCCAGCAGCCGCGGUAAUACGUAGGGAGCAAGCGUUGUCCGGAUUUACUGGGUGUAAAGGGUGCGUAGGCGGCUCUGCAAGUCAGGCGUGAAAUAUAUGGGCUUAACCCAUAGACUGCGUUUGAAACUGUGGAGCUUGAGUGAAGUAGAGGUAGGCGGAAUUCCCGGUGUAGCGGUGAAAUGCGUAGAGAUCGGGAGGAACACCAGUGGCGAAGGCGGCCUACUGGGCUUUAACUGACGCUGAGGCACGAAAGCAUGGGUAGCAAACAGGAUUAGAUACCCGUGUAGUCCG